AUUGAACGCUGGCGACAUGCCUUACACAUGCAAGUCGAACGGCAGCACGGGAGCAAUCCUGGUGGCGAGUGGCGAACGGGUGAGUAAUAUAUCGGAACGUGCCCAGUCGUGGGGAUAACGUAGCGAAAGCUACGCUGAUACCGCAUACGAUCUAUGGAUGAAAGCGGGGGAUCGCAAGACCUCGCGCGAUUGGAGCGGCCGAUAUCAGAUUAGGUAGUUGGUGAGGUAAAGGCUCACCAAGCCAACGAUCUGUAGCUGGUCUGAGAGGACGACCAGCCACACUGGGACUGAGACACGGCCCAGACUCCUACGGGAGGCAGCAGUGGGGAAUUUUGGGACAAUGGGCGCAAGCCUGAUCCAGCCAUGCCGCGUGCAGGAAGAAGGUCCCUAAUGGAUUGUAAACUGCUUUUAUACAAGAAGAAACACUCCCUCGUGAGGGAACUUGACGGUACUGUAUGAAUAAGGACCGGCUAAC
RNAcentral lists this ribosomal RNA (475 nucleotides) under uncultured bacterium. RNAcentral describes it as "bacterial SSU rRNA". It matches the Rfam family "Bacterial small subunit ribosomal RNA", at positions 30 to 501 of the family's 1533-position model. The record is from RNAcentral.